RNAcentral lists this microRNA precursor (58 nucleotides) under Taeniopygia guttata (zebra finch). RNAcentral describes it as "Tgu-Mir-460-P1_pre stem-loop". It matches the Rfam family "mir-460 microRNA precursor family", at positions 12 to 68 of the family's 77-position model. The record is from RNAcentral. Lineage: Eukaryota; Metazoa; Chordata; Aves; Passeriformes; Estrildidae.
CCUGCAUUGUACACACUGUGUGUGUGGCUGGAAAUGCACAGCGCAUACAAUGUGGAUU